CCUACGGGUGGCAGCAGUGGGGAAUAUUGGACAAUGGGCGAAAGCCUGAUCCAGCCAUGCCGCGUGUGUGAAGAAGGCCUUCGGGUUGUAAAGCACUUUCAGUGGGGAAGAAAGCCUUGGGGCUAAUACCCUCGAGGAAGGACAUUACCCACAGAAGAAGCACCGGCUAACUCCGGGCCAGCAGCCGCGGUAAUACGGAGGGUGCGAGCGUUAAUCGGAAUUACUGGGCGUAAAGCGCGCGUAGGCGGUCUGAUAAGCCGGUUGUGAAAGCCCCGGGCUCAACCUGGGAACGGCAUCCGGAACUGUCAGGCUAGAGUGCAGGAGAGGAAGGUAGAAUUCCCGGUGUAGCGGUGAAAUGCGUAGAGAUCGGGAGGAAUACCAGUGGCGAAGGCGGCCUUCUGGACUGACACUGACGCUGAGGUGCGAAAGCGUGGGUAGCAAACAGGAUUAGAUACCCGGGUAGUC
Molecule: ribosomal RNA, 465 nt
Filed under: Vreelandella stevensii
Lineage: Bacteria; Pseudomonadati; Pseudomonadota; Gammaproteobacteria; Oceanospirillales; Halomonadaceae
Description: partial 16S ribosomal RNA
Rfam family: Bacterial small subunit ribosomal RNA
Source: RNAcentral